GUUGUAGUCUAGUUGGUUAGGAUAUUAGGUUAUAAUUUAGGAGAUCUAGGUUCAAAUUCUAGUAACA
RNAcentral lists this transfer RNA (67 nucleotides) under Zingiber officinale. RNAcentral describes it as "tRNA-Tyr". Lineage: Eukaryota; Viridiplantae; Streptophyta; Magnoliopsida; Zingiberales; Zingiberaceae. The record is from RNAcentral.